RNAcentral lists this transfer RNA (65 nucleotides) under Hestiasula sp. JZ-2017. RNAcentral's name for it is "tRNA-His". The record is from RNAcentral. Lineage: Eukaryota; Metazoa; Arthropoda; Insecta; Mantodea; Hymenopodidae.
ACUUAAAUAGUUUAAAGAAAAUUAUGAUUUGUGGUGUCAUAGAUAUAAAAGGAUUAUUUUAGGUU